UAUGUGAAAAAGUUGGAUUUUACUUCAACAUGAACCAACUUUCAGACGCAAUCACACUAACAGAUAACAUUACAAUCAUUGACUGUCAUCGAUGUGUAUUGGAGUCAAGUUUCUUAGAAUGUGAUUUCAUGACUUCACGAGUGUCUUUUAUGAGAGGGUUCGUUCCUUGUCUCAAGCCAGACAAGGCAUUGCAGUGGGUUGUGCGUCAGGGAGACGUAUAAAGAAGGAGUCAGCUUGUGACAAACAGGUAAUGGUUUAUUAUGACAGAAAUAUGAUAUGACAUUAGCGAUGUUGUUGUGAUGGCGCCGUUGACAAGUAAUACGCUCCACACAGUGUGCGCCUGGGACAUGUAGUCCUGACUGAGAGAGACUCUGCGCCUGUCCAAGGUGAUCCCGGCACUUCCGGCUCCGCCCCCUCCCGCACGCACAGACCUCUCAGCGCCCUGCCCCUCACUCUGCUAAACUGAAAACAAAACUUUUGUUUCUGGGAGCACUUUCGUUUCAGGUCUGUUGUGUCACUGCGCUUGCUUUGUUUGCAGCUACUAGCGCAGGCGAGAGACAUGAACGGGAGAGCUUUGCUGGCCGCUCUACACUAGCAGGGGGCCCUGUCUGUCACUUCCAUCAGGUGCUGCUGCACGUGGAGACCCGUGUGUGCCCCUCUGUCUCAUGCCCUCCACACCCAGACUAAUAGAGCCCCUCUCCUCCUGCCACACAGUCCCUCUGCCAUGCGGGCUAGAUAAGGGCCAGCCUGCUAGUGUGCGCUUUAGCUUCACUCUUUGCUUUCCGGCGGGAGGUGGGCAGCCAUGGAUGGGCAGGGAGAAAAGGGCACCGUUGCCUGCAGUAAGGAUGAAGCUGCCAUGGACUCCUAUCUGAGAUCCGAGGGGCUGUACAGGAAGAAGAUAGCGAAGGACGGCUCGUGUCUAUUCAGGGCUGUGGCCGAGCAGGCUAUGCACUCGCAGUCAGAACAUCUGAAGAUAAGAAAAUCCUGUAUAAAAUAUUUGCGUGAAACUCGUGGACAGUAUGAAGCGGCAAUAAAAACAUUUAUCAGAGUUGAAUUGGAACAAUCUUUUGGAUAGUCUUUCAGGCGAGUUGGGGUUCUAUGAAACUGUUUGUAUUUCUCACUCAAACUAAACAACAUAGACCAAGGCAACCACAGCACUUUCGAAGAUAUGCAGCUUUUCACUUAAUGGGAGAAAUAUUAACAACUAUUGUUCUAAGUGACAGGGUGCUGCCUACCCCUAGUCCAGCAAGUGUUAGCUCAGUGAGAAGUGUAUGCGCUCUCUGGUCAAAGUGCUUUGCGCACACGCGUCCUCGGUUGCGCACAAUUGCGCACAUGCGUCCUUGGUUGCGCACAAUAGCGCACACGCAUCCUCGGUUGCGCACGAGUGCACACAUGCGUCCUCGGUUGCGCACGAUUGCGCACAUGCGUCCUCGGUUGCGUGCCAUUGCGCACUGAUGCUGUGGGGGCUGAAGUGGCCGGCCUGGCCCAGCAGUGGCUAUGAUUCCAUGUGACACCGUGUUGGAAUGGAUUGUUACAGCAGCAAAGGUCCCUUUGGUGGCAUAUCUGUGGUACACUGAUAACACAUUUUCAGAAUAUGAAGUGCCCUGUAAAACAUCAGACUAUUCAUUUAAGUCACAAACAAUGGACUAUAAUGACAAUGGAGGUCAUCUGUCUGCAUCAUACACAGACCAAGAUGACUAGAUUGAUAGACCGUCAGCUAUUCUGGAAAUAUAAUCAGAGUUCUGAUCAGAUUGCAGUUGGUCGCUCUGAAGUGAAAAGCCUGAGGUCACUGGCCUCCCAUGUGAUAAUUCAGCCUACCAGUACCAGAUGAUUACUGUAAUGUUCAUAAAAUGCACAGGGGAUGUGCCUUGUCAUCUUUUUGGUAAUAAUGUCUGAUGCCAACACAGAAACAAGCUCAUCUGGUUUUGUUCCUGGGCAAACUGUUUUAUCAUCAAUCCGCCACAUGAAGAAUUUGCACAAAUAAUAAUUAAUCCCUCAACCCAAAAAAUACCACAGCAUUAAAAGGCCCACUGGGUAAACAUCUUUCCCAAUGCUACGAAAAAAGGGAAGAAAGCUAAAAAUAUUGGGGACCAGUAAGCAACCAUACAUUGCCUUGGUUUGGACAGUAUGACAAUCCCAAACACAAAGUUUCCCAGGGUGAAACACGUCUGUUACACAUCUAAACAAAAUGACAUCUAAUAUAUAUGUAUAAACAGCAGAGUUGCCAGGUUGUCUGUUUUCCAGCCAAAUUGGGCUACUAAUGUAAAGCCCAGGCAGGCUUUGAAAGUACAAACUAGCCAAGGUAUGGAUUUGGGCUACUUUU
RNA transcript from Xenopus laevis (African clawed frog), 2323 nucleotides. It is a transcript of the gene named OTU domain-containing protein 4-like, with no coding region annotated. The record is from RefSeq and is a predicted model, not a curated record. The transcript has 3 exons. Lineage: Eukaryota; Metazoa; Chordata; Amphibia; Anura; Pipidae.